AUCAUUGGUAUACUGCCGAAAAAGAGAAAACCAUGCCAACGAUAGGAUGCAAUAUCAUGGUUUAGUUCCAUGCAGGGCACUCAUUCUCGUACCCAGAGCUCUUCUUACGUGCGUUCGAUCGAGCGCGACGAGGAGCUCUGGCCAAAUCCAUAACCGGAUACCAUAAAACAUGGUAAGAGAACAACAUCCGGUAUUUGGCAUUGAACUAUGGCUCACAAUUUAACUAUUGACCACAAUUUAAC
Non-coding RNA from Paramuricea clavata, 242 nucleotides. The record is from the annotation of a GenBank genome assembly. Lineage: Eukaryota; Metazoa; Cnidaria; Anthozoa; Malacalcyonacea; Plexauridae.